RNAcentral lists this unclassified non-coding RNA (241 nucleotides) under plant metagenome. RNAcentral describes it as "partial contains small subunit ribosomal RNA, internal transcribed spacer 1, and 5.8S ribosomal RNA". The record is from RNAcentral.
UUUCCGUAGGUGAACCUGCGGAAGGAUCAUUAAAGAGUAAGGGUCUUCGGGCCCGAUCUCCAACCCUUUGUUUAACUACCAUGUUGCUUUGGCGGGCCCGUCUCACGACCGCCGGAAGUUUGGCUUCGACCAAACUUCUGGCCCGUGCCCGUCAGUGGCCCCUUCAAAUUCUUGAUCAAGUAUGAUGUCUUAGUCGAAAACUUAAUAGUUAAAACUUUCAACAACGGAUCUCUUGGUUCUG